AAUCAUUUCAGGACCUAUGGCAUGGAGUUUUACACCCCAUCACCAGUGUGCAUGAGUGGUUCCUGGGUUCCUGUCAUCAUGGCCCCCUGAAGGACAAUGACAAGUCGUUGAUUCCAAAGGGCUCUGUAGCACACAAGCAACUAUGUGAAUUCGUGCUGGAUUCACGGUGACUGAAGAUCAUAACAAAGUACCUGUCUUUGAGAAAAGGCAGACUCUACAGCAAGAGAACAAAGCUGUGGCGAUUGUACAAAGUUCCAAAAGGACUACAAAAACAUAUCGGACCAGCAGGCGAUCACACUUCGCACAAGGAUUUAUCUAAGGGAGGAAUGGCAAAAACCCUUUCAGACCUGAUGACCGUAGAAAGCUUGGGACUCUAGCUGGUGGACCAACCCCAACAAUACAAGAGCUAGAGCAGCAACAGGUCAGCAGAGGACUGAGUAAGUCGGUAUUAUGCAGAUGACUAGUAUAUUCUAUCAUUACAUUUCUUUUGACUGGGUAGACACUAUGAUAUAACAGCAAUAUUGUAAUUAGAAUGAUGUAUUGAAGAAAACAAUCCUUGGAAAUCAUAAAUUGUUGUUUUUUUCUUUCAAACAGGACAACUGUCAGAAUAGACGGGGAACCAGCUUCUGCCAUCAGACUCAUCAAAAUUAUAGCUGUACAGUAAUGUCAAAUGAAAAUAUUAGAAACUCAAAACACUGAAUAAACAGUUGUG
This 712-nucleotide long non-coding RNA is filed under the name Neogobius melanostomus (round goby). RNAcentral describes it as "lncRNA (ENSNMLG00000011663.1)". Lineage: Eukaryota; Metazoa; Chordata; Actinopteri; Gobiiformes; Gobiidae. The record is from RNAcentral.